GUCAUAAUAACUUCUCGAAUCGCAUGGCUUGUGCGGCGAUGCUUCAUUCAAAUAUCUGCCCUAUCAACUUUCGAUGGUAGGAUAGUGGCCUACCAUGGUGUUCAACGGGUAACGGGGAAUUAGGGUUCGAUUCCGGAGAGGGAGCCUGAGAAACGGCUACCACAUCCAAGGAAGGCAGCAGGCGCGCAAAUUACCCAAUCCCGACACGGGGAGGUAGUGACAAUAAAUAACAAUAUAGGGCUCUUUCGGGUCUUGAUAAUUGGAAUGAGUACAAUUUAAAUCCCUUAACGAGGAUCAAUUGGAGGGCAAGUCUGGUGCCAGCAGCCGCGGUAAUUCCAGCUCCAAUAGCGUAUAUUAAAGUUGUUGCAGUUAAAAAGCUCGUAGUUGAACUUCAGGCGGGGCUGGGCGGUCCGGUUAACGGGAGUACUGUCUGGCCCUGUCUUACUUCUUGGUGAGCCGGGUGGGCUUUAUUGGUUGCGGUCGGGGAAACCAGGGACUUUUACCUUGAGAAAAUUAGAGUGUUCAAAAGCAGGGAUUUGGCUGGAAUACAUUAGCAUGGAAUAAA
RNAcentral lists this ribosomal RNA (565 nucleotides) under uncultured fungus. RNAcentral's name for it is "SSU rRNA". It matches the Rfam family "Eukaryotic small subunit ribosomal RNA", at positions 250 to 818 of the family's 1831-position model. Lineage: Eukaryota; Fungi. The record is from RNAcentral.